ACGCUCGACACCUACGGGAAGCAGCAGUGGGGAAUAUUGCACAAUGGGGGAAACCCUGAUGCAGCGACGCCGCGUGAAGGAUGAAGUAUUUCGGUAUGUAAACUUCUAUCAGCAGGGAAGAAAAUGACGGUACCUGACUAAGAAGCCCCGGCUAACUACGUGCCAGCAGCCGCGGUAAUCUGAGCGGGCUGGCAAGGC
Molecule: ribosomal RNA, 198 nt
Filed under: uncultured bacterium
Lineage: Bacteria
Description: partial 16S ribosomal RNA
Rfam family: Bacterial small subunit ribosomal RNA
Source: RNAcentral